UACGAAGGUCCCAAGCGUUGUUCGGAAUCACUGGGCGUAAAGGGCGCGUAGGCGGCGUGGUAAGUCAGAUGUGAAAUCCCGGGGCUCAACCCCGGAACUGCAUCCGAUACUGCCAUGCUAGAGGAUUGGAGAGGUAGCUGGAAUUCUUGGUGUAGCAGUGAAAUGCGUAGAGAUCAAGAGGAACACGCGUGGCGAAAGCGAGCUACUGGACAAUUCCUGACGCUGAGGCUCGAAGGCUAGGGUAGCGAAAGGG
This 253-nucleotide ribosomal RNA is filed under the name uncultured bacterium. RNAcentral's name for it is "partial 16S ribosomal RNA". It matches the Rfam family "Bacterial small subunit ribosomal RNA", at positions 524 to 776 of the family's 1533-position model. The record is from RNAcentral.